GUGAAUCAUCAAAUUUUUGAACGCAAAUUGCACUCUUUGGUAUUCCGAAGAGUAUGCUUGCUUGAGGGUUGUUCUAAACAAUAUCGUUUUUUAUAUUAAAGAAAACGGAUCUGAGUUUUCUAAAGUUUUUAACUUUGGUGACUUUAAAUUUAUCUUAACGAUAUUUUUGGUAUAAUAUUGGAAAUGUUUUAUCUUACAUCUCGUGUAAGUUUCAUUAACGAUGAUUACUAAAUCGUUAUAGCGUGUUAUUUACCUAAUUUUUUUUAUAAUUGGGUUAUAUAAUACAAUUUCUUUUUUCAAA
Molecule: unclassified non-coding RNA, 301 nt
Filed under: Acaulospora cavernata
Lineage: Eukaryota; Fungi; Glomeromycota; Glomeromycetes; Diversisporales; Acaulosporaceae
Description: partial contains 5.8S ribosomal RNA and internal transcribed spacer 2
Rfam family: 5.8S ribosomal RNA (bases 1-71)
Source: RNAcentral